Molecule: long non-coding RNA, 291 nt
Organism: Drosophila innubila
Lineage: Eukaryota; Metazoa; Arthropoda; Insecta; Diptera; Drosophilidae
Exons: 2
Source: RefSeq, a predicted model, not a curated record
ACAAGUGCAGAGUGAAACAAGUUGUUGUUGCUGAAACACAGCGAACAACGAAGAAAAUUUUCCACACAAUUUUUCGCCUCGCAUUGAAACGAAUUUUGGCGAUGAAAAAAUGUUUAAAAGUGCGUGCUAAAUAACUUUGAUAAAUGCACGGGAACGGCAAACGCAACAACGAAAGCAAUACCUUAAACAGUUUCAAAGUGAUUUUGGCAAACGGCGAAAGAAAAGUGAUAUAAAUCAAAAGGAGAAAAUUGUGAAACGAAGCUGCAGAUGAUAUAGGUGGCACAAAAGAGA